Non-coding RNA from Triticum aestivum (bread wheat), 121 nucleotides. The record is from Rfam. Lineage: Eukaryota; Viridiplantae; Streptophyta; Magnoliopsida; Poales; Poaceae.
UGCAUACUCCCUCCGUUCGGAAUUACUUGUCUCGGAAAUGAAUGUAUCUAGAACUAAAAUAUGUCUAAUUGUCUAGAUACAUCCAUUUCUGACAAGUAAUUCCGAACGGAGGGAGUAGUAA